RNAcentral lists this ribosomal RNA (301 nucleotides) under uncultured bacterium. RNAcentral describes it as "partial 16S ribosomal RNA". It matches the Rfam family "Bacterial small subunit ribosomal RNA", at positions 509 to 808 of the family's 1533-position model. The record is from RNAcentral.
CAGCAGCGCGGUAAUACAGAGGGUGCGAGCGUUAAUCGGAUUUACUGGGCGUAAAGCGUGCGUAGGCGGCUUCUUAAGUCGGAUGUGAAAUCCCUGAGCUUAACUUAGGAAUUGCAUUCGAUACUGGGAAGCUAGAGUAUGGGAGAGGAUGGUAGAAUUCCAGGUGUAGCGGUGAAAUGCGUAGUGAUCUGGAGGAAUACCGAUGGCGAAGGCAGCCAUCUGGCCUAAUACUGACGCUGAGGUACGAAAGCAUGGGGAGCAAACAGGAUUAGAUACCCCCGUAGUCCCUGUCUCUUAUACA